AAGUUUUAGCCAGCUACGACGGCGGCAGUCGGAGGUUUAGUCUGUCGUUUGGCUUAUUGAUUCGACCAGAUCGACGGUACUCAACGCGUCCGCUCACCGGUCGCUAAAAUCGCUGCCGCCGUUGGCGUCGGCGUCGCUGCGACGCUAAAUGAAACGCUUUGACGCGUUAUAAUAACAACUGUUUGCCGUCUUUGGACAUUCAGUGUACGAUAUCCCGGCGUACGGUGCAGACAACGUCGACAGAGAGAGAGAGAGAGAGAAAAAGAUUAAAAAAAAUAAAUACCGAAACCAAAAACAAAAAAAACGAAAAACAAAAAUUACAGAACCCCCUUAUACAAAAUCCACAAGGCAAACUCUUUUGUCACCAGUUAUUAUACUGACAGUAUAAUUGUGUUUUUUAUUGUUUUUGUUUGUGCUCAAAAGAAAAUAAAUACAAUUUAAUUUAAAAAAAAAAAAAAAUUAAUUAAUUAAGUGCCGAAAUUGUGUUAAGUUUUCGUAAAAUUUAAAUAGCGCCCACGAAAAGUUCAAAGUGAGUGCGAAGUGAGCGUAAAGUUGCUUUAACAAAAUUAAGAAUUCUAUAACUUUCAAAUACAAACACAAAUACAACAAGAAGAUCAACAAUAUGUACGUUAUGUUGUUGCUUGCAGCCAUAUCAACGGUCCGGUGACUAAAGCUCUGUCCUCUCUGCUCCUCAAACAACUCAACCCGCCAUCCCCCACCCGCCUCGAAGAACAGGACACAAAACAACGAACUGGACACAGGACUUAUUACACUAUACUAUACACACACACACA
Drosophila innubila is the source of this 794-nucleotide long non-coding RNA. RefSeq lists it as uncharacterized. The transcript has 2 exons. NCBI's taxonomy places the organism in Eukaryota, Metazoa, Arthropoda, Insecta, Diptera, Drosophilidae. The record is from RefSeq and is a predicted model, not a curated record.